This 253-nucleotide ribosomal RNA is filed under the name uncultured bacterium. RNAcentral describes it as "partial 16S ribosomal RNA". It matches the Rfam family "Bacterial small subunit ribosomal RNA", at positions 524 to 776 of the family's 1533-position model. The record is from RNAcentral.
UACAGAGGUCUCAAGCGUUGUUCGGAUUCAUUGGGCGUAAAGCGUGCGUAGGUGGUUUGUUAAGUCCGUUGUGAAAGCCCUGGGCUCAACCUGGGAAUGGCAGUGGAUACUGGCGAGCUAGAGUGCGGUAGAGGGUAGUGGAAUUCCCGGUGUAGCAGUGAAAUGCGUAGAGAUCGGGAGGAACACCAGUGGCGAAGGCGGCUACCUGGACCAGCACUGACACUGAGGCACGAAAGCGUGGGGAGCAAACAGG